CCUACGUGAGGCAGCAGUAGGGAAUCUUCCACAAUGGGCGAAAGCCUGAUGGAGCAACGCCGCGUGGGUUAAGAAGGUCUUCGGAUCGUAAAACCCUGUUGUUAGAGAAGAAAGUGCGUGAGAGUAACUGUUCACGUUUCGACGGUAUCUAACCAGAAAGCCACGGCUAACUACGUGCCAGCAGCCGCGGUAAUACGUAGGGGGCAAGCGUUAUCCGGAUUUAUUGGGCGUAAAGGGAACGCAGGCGGUCUUUUAAGUCUGAUGUGAAAGCCUUCGGCUUAACCGGAGUAGUGCAUUGGAAACUGGGAGACUUGAGUGCAGAAGAGGAGAGUGGAACGCCAUGUGUAGCGGUGAAAUGCGUAGAUAUAUGGAAGAACACCAGUGGCGAAAGCGGCGCUCUGGUCUGUAACUGACGCUGAGGUUCGAAAGCGUGGGUAGCAAACAGGAUUAGAUACCCCGGUAGUC
This 465-nucleotide ribosomal RNA is filed under the name uncultured bacterium. RNAcentral's name for it is "partial 16S ribosomal RNA". It matches the Rfam family "Bacterial small subunit ribosomal RNA", at positions 338 to 795 of the family's 1533-position model. The record is from RNAcentral.